GCCAGCAUGGUGUAGUGGUUUGAGUUUGGGACUACAACUCUGAAGGCCACGGUUCGAAUUCCUGCUCUGGCA
This is a non-coding RNA of Phrynosoma platyrhinos (Desert horned lizard), 72 nucleotides long. Lineage: Eukaryota; Metazoa; Chordata; Lepidosauria; Squamata; Phrynosomatidae. The record is from the annotation of a GenBank genome assembly.